Molecule: ribosomal RNA, 253 nt
Filed under: uncultured bacterium
Lineage: Bacteria
Description: partial 16S ribosomal RNA
Rfam family: Bacterial small subunit ribosomal RNA
Source: RNAcentral
UACGUAGGUGGCAAGCGUUAUCCGGAUUUAUUGGGCGUAAAGAGAACGCAGGCGGUCUUUUAAGUCUGAUGUGAAAGCCUUCGGCUUAACCGGAGUAGUGCAUUGGAAACUGGGAGACUUGAGUGCAGAAGAGGAGAGUGGAACUCCAUGUGUAGCGGUGAAAUGCGUAGAUAUAUGGAAGAACACCAGUGGCGAAAGCGGCUCUCUGGCCUGUAACUGACGCUGAGGUUCGAAAGCGUGGGUAGCAAACAGG